RNAcentral lists this ribosomal RNA (360 nucleotides) under uncultured bacterium. RNAcentral's name for it is "bacterial SSU rRNA". It matches the Rfam family "Bacterial small subunit ribosomal RNA", at positions 70 to 422 of the family's 1533-position model. The record is from RNAcentral.
CUUUGGGAGCUUGCUCCCAAAAGUUAGCGGCGGACGGGUGAGUAACACGUGGGCAACCUGCCUAUAAGACUGGGAUAACUUCGGGAAACCGGAGCUAAUACCGGAUCAUUCUUUUCUACACAUGUAGGAAAGCUAAAAGACGGUUUACGCUGUCACUUAUAGAUGGGCCCGCGGCGCAUUAGCUAGUUGGUGAGGUAACGGCUCACCAAGGCCACGAUGCGUAGCCGACCUGAGAGGGUGAUCGGCCACACUGGGACUGAGACACGGCCCAGACUCCUACGGGAGGCAGCAGUAGGGAAUCUUCCGCAAUGGACGAAAGUCUGACGGAGCAACGCCGCGUGAGUGAUGAAGGUUUUCGGA